AGGAAUAGACCCCCUGGUAGUUCCCGCCAGUAAUCGAUGUCGAUUUGGAGGUUCCCCCCGAGAGUGCGCGGCCUCUCGGAGAUAACCCGUUAAGUCGACCUCCUGGGGAGUACGCCCGCAAGGUUAAAACUCAAAUGAAUUGACGGGGGCCCGCACAAGCGGUGGAGCAUGUGGUUUAAUUUGAUGCAACGCGAAGAACCUUACCUGGUCUUGACAUCCAGAGAAUCCUGCAGAGAUGCGGGAGUGCCUUCGGGAACUCUGAGACAGGUGCUGCAUGGCUGUCGUCAGCUCGUGUUGUGAAAUGUUGGGUUAAGUCCCGCAACGAGCGCAACCCUUAUCCUUUGUUGCCAGCACGUGAUGGUGGGAACUCAAAGGAGACUGCCGGUGAUAAACCGGAGGAAGGUGGGGAUGACGUCAAGUCAUCAUGGCCCUUACGACCAGGGCUACACACGUGCUACAAUGGCGCAUACAAAGAGAAGCGACCUCGCGAGAGCAAGCGGACCUCAUAAAGUGCGUCGUAGUCCGGAUUGGAGUCUGCAACUCGACUCCAUGAAGUCGGAAUCGCUAGUAAUCGUGGAUCAGAAUGCCACGGUGAAUACGUUCCCGGGCCUUGUACACACCGCCCGUCACACCAUGGGAGUGGGUUGCAAAAGAAGUAGGUAGCUUAACCUUCGGGGAG
This 679-nucleotide ribosomal RNA is filed under the name Cronobacter dublinensis. RNAcentral describes it as "bacterial SSU rRNA". It matches the Rfam family "Bacterial small subunit ribosomal RNA", at positions 774 to 1449 of the family's 1533-position model. Lineage: Bacteria; Pseudomonadati; Pseudomonadota; Gammaproteobacteria; Enterobacterales; Enterobacteriaceae. The record is from RNAcentral.